GCUGAUGUAGCUCAGCUGGCGCGCGACUCAUAAUCGCGAGGUCGGAAGUUCAAAUCUUCCCAUCAGCA
This 68-nucleotide transfer RNA is filed under the name Chloroflexota bacterium. RNAcentral describes it as "Chloroflexi bacterium tRNA-Met". It matches the Rfam family "tRNA". Rfam says of the family: Transfer RNA (tRNA) molecules are approximately 80 nucleotides in length. Their secondary structure includes four short double-helical elements and three loops (D, anti-codon, and T loops). Further hydrogen bonds mediate the characteristic L-shaped molecular structure. tRNAs have two regions of fundamental functional importance: the anti-codon, which is responsible for specific mRNA codon recognition, and the 3' end, to which the tRNAs corresponding amino acid is attached (by aminoacyl-tRNA synthetases). tRNAs cope with the degeneracy of the genetic code in two manners: having more than one tRNA (with a specific anti-codon) for a particular amino acid; and 'wobble' base-pairing, i.e. permitting non-standard base-pairing at the 3rd anti-codon position. The record is from RNAcentral. Lineage: Bacteria; Bacillati; Chloroflexota.